AUGAACGCUGGCGGCGUGCCUAAUCCCUGCAAGUCGCGCGAACAGACGAGGAGCUUGCUCCUCUGACGUUAGCGGCGGACGGGUGAGUAACACGUGGAUAACCUACCUAUAAGACUGGGAUAACUUCGGGAAACCGGAGCUAAUACCGGAUAAUAUAUUGAACCGCAUGGUUCAAUAGUGAAAGACGGUUUUGCUGUCACUUAUAGAUGGAUCCACGCCGCAUUAGCUAGUUGGUAAGGUAACGGCUUACCAAGGCGACGAUGCGUAGCCGACCUGAGAGGGUGAUCGGCCACACUGGAACUGAGACACGGUCCAGACUCCUACGGGAGGCAGCAGUAGGGAAUCUUCCGCAAUGGGCGAAAGCCUGACGGAGCAACGCCGCGUGAGUGAUGAAGGUCUUCGGAUCGUAAAACUCUGUUAUUAGGGAAGAACAAAUGUGUAAGUAACUAUGCACGUCUUGACGGUACCUAAUCAGAAAGCCACGGCUAACUACGUG
This 496-nucleotide ribosomal RNA is filed under the name uncultured bacterium. RNAcentral's name for it is "partial 16S ribosomal RNA". It matches the Rfam family "Bacterial small subunit ribosomal RNA", at positions 29 to 507 of the family's 1533-position model. The record is from RNAcentral.